RNAcentral lists this ribosomal RNA (1130 nucleotides) under Salmonella enterica subsp. enterica serovar Kentucky. RNAcentral describes it as "bacterial LSU rRNA". It matches the Rfam family "Bacterial large subunit ribosomal RNA", at positions 646 to 1773 of the family's 2925-position model. The record is from RNAcentral. Lineage: Bacteria; Pseudomonadati; Pseudomonadota; Gammaproteobacteria; Enterobacterales; Enterobacteriaceae.
UUAACCGUAUAGGGGAGCCGGAGGGAAACCGAGUCUUAACUGGGCGUUAAGUUGCAGGGUAUAGACCCGAAACCCGGUGAUCUAGCCAUGGGCAGGUUGAAGGUUGGGUAACACUAACUGGAGGACCGAACCGACUAAUGUUGAAAAAUUAGCGGAUGACCUGUGGCUGGGGGUGAAAGGCCAAUCAAACCGGGAGAUAGCUGGUUCUCCCCGAAAGCUAUUUAGGUAGCGCCUCGUGAACUCAUCUUCGGGGGUAGAGCACUGUUUCGGCUAGGGGGUCAUCCCGACUUACCAACCCGAUGCAAACUGCGAAUACCGAAGAAUGUUAUCACGGGAGACACACGGCGGGUGCUAACGUCCGUCGUGAAGAGGGAAACAACCCAGACCGCCAGCUAAGGUCCCAAAGUCAUGGUUAAGUGGGAAACGAUGUGGGAAGGCCCAGACAGCCAGGAUGUUGGCUUAGAAGCAGCCAUCAUUUAAAGAAAGCGUAAUAGCUCACUGGUCGAGUCGGCCUGCGCGGAAGAUGUAACGGGGCUAAACCAUGCACCGAAGCUGCGGCAGCGACGCUGAUGCGUUGUUGGGUAGGGGAGCGUUCUGUAAGCCUGUGAAGGUGGCCUGUGAGGGUUGCUGGAGGUAUCAGAAGUGCGAAUGCUGACAUAAGUAACGAUAAAGCGGGUGAAAAGCCCGCUCGCCGGAAGACCAAGGGUUCCUGUCCAACGUUAAUCGGGGCAGGGUGAGUCGACCCCUAAGGCGAGGCCGAAAGGCGUAGUCGAUGGGAAACGGGUUAAUAUUCCCGUACUUGGUGUUACUGCGAAGGGGGGACGGAGAAGGCUAUGUUGGCCGGGCGACGGUUGUCCCGGUUUAAGCGUGUAGGCUGGUUUUCCAGGCAAAUCCGGAAAAUCAAGGCUGAGGCGUGAUGACGAGGCACUACGGUGCUGAAGCAACAAAUGCCCUGCUUCCAGGAAAAGCCUCUAAGCAUCAGGUAACAUCAAAUCGUACCCCAAACCGACACAGGUGGUCAGGUAGAGAAUACCAAGGCGCUUGAGAGAACUCGGGUGAAGGAACUAGGCAAAAUGGUGCCGUAACUUCGGGAGAAGGCACGCUGACACGUAGGUGAAGUGAUUUACUCA